Molecule: ribosomal RNA, 253 nt
Filed under: uncultured bacterium
Lineage: Bacteria
Description: partial 16S ribosomal RNA
Rfam family: Bacterial small subunit ribosomal RNA
Source: RNAcentral
UACGAGAGGCCCAAACGUUAUUCGGAUUUACUGGGCUUAAAGAGUUCGUAGGCGGCGCAGAAAGUAGGGUGUGAAAGCCCUCGGCUCAACCGAGGAAUUGCGCUCUAAACUACUGUGCUUGAGGAAGCUAGAGGUGAGCGGAACUGAUGGUGGAGCGGUGAAAUGCGUUGAUAUCAUCAGGAACACCGGAGGCGAAGGCGGCUCACUGGGGCUUAUCUGACGCUGAGGAACGAAAGCCAGGGGAGCAAACGGG